GUGGCUGUAGCUCAGUUGGCAUACCUCAGGAUUGUGGUUCCUGAGGUAUGGGUUCGAGCUCCCAUCAGCCUCC
Molecule: transfer RNA, 73 nt
Filed under: Candidatus Tremblayella princeps
Lineage: Bacteria; Pseudomonadati; Pseudomonadota; Betaproteobacteria
Description: Candidatus Tremblaya princeps tRNA-His
Rfam family: tRNA
About the family: Transfer RNA (tRNA) molecules are approximately 80 nucleotides in length. Their secondary structure includes four short double-helical elements and three loops (D, anti-codon, and T loops).
Source: RNAcentral